This 567-nucleotide ribosomal RNA is filed under the name Kluyveromyces lactis. RNAcentral describes it as "eukaryotic LSU rRNA". It matches the Rfam family "Eukaryotic large subunit ribosomal RNA", at positions 40 to 648 of the family's 3401-position model. Lineage: Eukaryota; Fungi; Ascomycota; Saccharomycetes; Saccharomycetales; Saccharomycetaceae. The record is from RNAcentral.
AUAUCAAUAAGCGGAGGAAAAGAAACCAACCGGGAUUGCCUUAGUAACGGCGAGUGAAGCGGCAAAAGCUCAAAUUUGAAAUCUGGCGUCUUCGACGUCCGAGUUGUAAUUUGAAGAAGGCAACUUUGUAGCUGGUCCUUGUCUAUGUUCCUUGGAACAGGACGUCAUAGAGGGUGAGAAUCCCGUGUGGCGAGGAUCCCAGUUAUUUGUAAAGUGCUUUCGACGAGUCGAGUUGUUUGGGAAUGCAGCUCUAAGUGGGUGGUAAAUUCCAUCUAAAGCUAAAUAUUGGCGAGAGACCGAUAGCGAACAAGUACAGUGAUGGAAAGAUGAAAAGAACUUUGAAAAGAGAGUGAAAAAGUACGUGAAAUUGUUGAAAGGGAAGGGCAUUUGAUCAGACAUGGCGUUUGCUUCGGCUUUCGCUGGGCCAGCAUCAGUUUUAGCGGUUGGAUAAAUCCUCGGGAAUGUGGCUCUGCUUCGGUAGAGUGUUAUAGCCCGUGGGAAUACAGCCAGCUGGGACUGAGGAUUGCGACUUUUGUCAAGGAUGCUGGCGUAAUGGUUAAAUGCCGC